ACGCGUUCCUGUUCCUCAUCCUCCGGCGCCGCCUGGAGAAUGUAGGAGUCACUGCUCUAUAAAAACCACCGGACUACCACAAACUGGAAACAGCGGAAAAUCCCGUGGGUCACCGGCCACCAUGCUAAAUUGAAGCAAAGUUGAACUAAUCUGCCGUGCGAAAUAGCAAAAUAAAUAUUUCAUUUUAAUGUUUUAUUAAGACAUUAUAUUUUUCAUCUAAAACGUUUUUGAUGUGUUUUUUUCUCAUCGCGUUUAGGCGUCGUGUAUCAGAUCGCAACUGCUAAUAAUUUCGUCGUCUGAGGCGGACUGUUAUGGAGGUACCAAAUCUUCAGUGAUGAUGAAUGCGUUCACGCUUCUACGAGCCGGUAAUUGGCGGUAUCCAGAUGGCCACAGAGGUGACGUUCCGAGAUUGUAAAAACAUGCCGGGCCCACAGUUUCAGAUAAGCCGUUCUCAUCAAUGCCAUACCAUGUACGGUCGGCUAGUUACACUUCAUCACGAAGGACAAUCACAUCUAGGUGACGGAAUGCUGCCAAAACGAUGCAGCUGGCUUAGUCCUCGAUGACGACAAACAUGUUGUUUUGGCUUCUCACAAUUACUGAUGAAUGCUGGAAAUCUCCGUUAUAGCCGUUUUAUUGCGCUGAAUUAGGUUUAUAACUCUCGUGUGUGAGUUAUCAAUUAACAUUU
Long non-coding RNA from Anopheles arabiensis, 685 nucleotides. RefSeq lists it as uncharacterized. NCBI's taxonomy places the organism in Eukaryota, Metazoa, Arthropoda, Insecta, Diptera, Culicidae. The record is from RefSeq and is a predicted model, not a curated record. The transcript is spliced from 4 exons.